RNAcentral lists this long non-coding RNA (883 nucleotides) under Homo sapiens (human). Its description in RNAcentral is "metastasis associated lung adenocarcinoma transcript 1". Lineage: Eukaryota; Metazoa; Chordata; Mammalia; Primates; Hominidae. The record is from RNAcentral.
AGGCAUUGAGGCAGCCAGCGCAGGGGCUUCUGCUGAGGGGGCAGGCGGAGCUUGAGGAAACCGCAGAUAACUGACCCAGGUGCUACACAGAAGUGGAUUCAGUGAAUCUAGGAAGACAGCAGCAGACAGGAUUCCAGGAACCAGUGUUUGAUGAAGCUAGGACUGAGGAGCAAGCGAGCAAGCAGCAGUUCGUGGUGAAGAUAGGAAAAGAGUCCAGGAGCCAGUGCGAUUUGGUGAAGGAAGCUAGGAAGAAGGAAGGAGCGCUAACGAUUUGGUGGUGAAGCUAGGAAAAAGGAUUCCAGGAAGGAGCGAGUGCAAUUUGGUGAUGAAGGUAGCAGGCGGCUUGGCUUGGCAACCACACGGAGGAGGCGAGCAGGCGUUGUGCGUAGAGGAUCCUAGACCAGCAUGCCAGUGUGCCAAGGCCACAGGGAAAGCGAGUGGUUGGUAAAAAUCCGUGAGGUCGGCAAUAUGUUGUUUUUCUGGAACUUACUUAUGGUAACCUUUUAUUUAUUUUCUAAUAUAAUGGGGGAGUUUCGUACUGAGGUGUAAAGGGAUUUAUAUGGGGACGUAGGCCGAUUUCCGGGUGUUGUAGGUUUCUCUUUUUCAGGCUUAUACUCAUGAAUCUUGUCUGAAGCUUUUGAGGGCAGACUGCCAAGUCCUGGAGAAAUAGUAGAUGGCAAGUUUGUGGGUUUUUUUUUUUUACACGAAUUUGAGGAAAACCAAAUGAAUUUGAUAGCCAAAUUGAGACAAUUUCAGCAAAUCUGUAAGCAGUUUGUAUGUUUAGUUGGGGUAAUGAAGUAUUUCAGUUUUGUGAAUAGAUGACCUGUUUUUACUUCCUCACCCUGAAUUCGUUUUGUAAAUGUAGAGUUUGGAUGUGUAACUG